AGCGAACGCUGGCGGCAGGCCUAACACAUGCAAGUCGAACGAACUCUUCGGAGUUAGUGGCGGACGGGUGAGUAACACGUGGGAACGUGCCUUUAGGUUCGGAAUAACUCAGGGAAACUUGUGCUAAUACCGAAUGUGCCCUUCGGGGGAAAGAUUUAUCGCCUUUAGAGCGGCCCGCGUCUGAUUAGCUAGUUGGUGAGGUAAAGGCUCACCAAGGCGACGAUCAGUAGCUGGUCUGAGAGGAUGAUCAGCCACAUUGGGACUGAGACACGGCCCAAACUCCUACGGGAGGCAGCAGUGGGGAAUCUUGCGCAAUGGGCGAAAGCCGGACGCAGCCAUGCCGCGUGAAUGAUGAAGGUCUUAGGAUUGUAAAAUUCUUUCACCGGGGACGAUAAUGACGGUACCCGGAGAAGAAGCCCCGGCUAACUUCGU
This 432-nucleotide ribosomal RNA is filed under the name uncultured bacterium. RNAcentral's name for it is "partial 16S ribosomal RNA". It matches the Rfam family "Bacterial small subunit ribosomal RNA", at positions 29 to 506 of the family's 1533-position model. The record is from RNAcentral.